AUUGGCACAUACUCCCAACUUAAGGGUAUCUUUAGGGCAAGUGGCCUUAGCAGGACUGGGGCUAGGAGUUGGCUUGGGCUUGUUCUUUGACUUAGGAGGGUUAGGGCAAGUGCCACAUGCAGAGACAAUGGCAAAGAAGAGAAGGUUAACUAAAAGGAAGAAAGCCACUGAUGCAGAGCUCUUGGAAGCCAUAUCCCAAGCCCUAAUUUUUUUUCUCUUUUUUUACAAUAGUAAUAAAGUGGUG
This 244-nucleotide long non-coding RNA is filed under the name Vitis vinifera (wine grape). RNAcentral describes it as "long non-coding RNA (VVIN_LNC003837)". The record is from RNAcentral. Lineage: Eukaryota; Viridiplantae; Streptophyta; Magnoliopsida; Vitales; Vitaceae.